GUGCCAGCAGCAGCGGUAAUACGUAGGGUGCAAGCGUUAAUCGGAAUUACUGGGCGUAAAGCGUGCGCAGGCGGUUCGGAAAGAAAGAUGUGAAAUCCCAGGGCUUAACCUUGGAACUGCAUUUUUAACUACCGGGCUAGAGUAUGUCAGAGGGGGUAGAAUUCCACGUGUAGCAGUGAAAUGCGUAGAGAUGUGGAGGAAUACCGAUGGCGAAGGCAGCCCCCUGGGAUAAUACUGACGCUCAUGCACGAAAGCGUGGGAGCAAACAGGAUUAGAUACCCUGGUAGUCCACGCCCUAACGAUGUCAACUAGCUGUUGGGGCUUCGGCCUUUAGAGCGCAGCUAACGCGUGAAGUUGA
RNAcentral lists this ribosomal RNA (358 nucleotides) under uncultured Pusillimonas sp. Its description in RNAcentral is "bacterial SSU rRNA". It matches the Rfam family "Bacterial small subunit ribosomal RNA", at positions 505 to 868 of the family's 1533-position model. The record is from RNAcentral. Lineage: Bacteria; Pseudomonadati; Pseudomonadota; Betaproteobacteria; Burkholderiales; Alcaligenaceae.